AGCAAUACCGUUAGCGGCGGACGGGUGAGGAACACAUAGGAAUUUGCCUUUAGGUGGGGGAUAGCCCAGGGAAACUUGGAGUAAUACCGCAUGAUGUCGCAAGACCAAAGCAGGGGAUCGCAAGACCUUGCGCCUUUAGAGGAGCCUAUGUCUGAUUAGCUAGUUGGUAGGGUAAUGGCCUACCAAGGCGACGAUCAGUAACUGGUCUGAGAGGACGAUCAGUCACACUGGAACUGAGACACGGUCCAGACUCCUACGGGAGGCAGCAGUGGGGAAUAUUGGACAAUGGGCGCAAGCCUGAUCCAGCAAUGCCGCGUGUGUGAAGAAGGCCUUCGGGUUGUAAAGCACUUUAGGCCGGGAAGAAAAAAUCAGGGCUAAUAUCCUUGAUCUUGACGGUACCGGAAGAAUAAGCACCGGCUAACUCUGUGCCAGCAGCCGCGGUAAUACAGAGGGUGCGAGCGUUAAUCGGAUUUACUGGGCGUAAAGCGUGUGUAGGUGGUUGUUCAAGUCGGUUGUGAAAUCCCUGGGCUUAACCUGGGAACUGCUUCCGAG
RNAcentral lists this ribosomal RNA (552 nucleotides) under uncultured Pseudomonadota bacterium. RNAcentral describes it as "bacterial SSU rRNA". It matches the Rfam family "Bacterial small subunit ribosomal RNA", at positions 82 to 631 of the family's 1533-position model. Lineage: Bacteria; Pseudomonadati; Pseudomonadota. The record is from RNAcentral.